CAAGUUACUAUCAUAGGAUAUGUUAUUAUUUACAUUAAUAAUACAUUUGUGCAAUUCAAAUUAGCUUGA
Molecule: transfer RNA, 69 nt
Filed under: Megacopta caliginosa
Lineage: Eukaryota; Metazoa; Arthropoda; Insecta; Hemiptera; Plataspidae
Description: tRNA-Val
Source: RNAcentral